Molecule: long non-coding RNA, 379 nt
Filed under: Brachypodium distachyon (stiff brome)
Lineage: Eukaryota; Viridiplantae; Streptophyta; Magnoliopsida; Poales; Poaceae
Description: long non-coding RNA (BDIS_LNC004149)
Source: RNAcentral
GAUCGCGAUGAAAUUUUACACUGUGGUAGUAGACAAAAUUUCGCACAAUCUCACCGAAGGGAUCGUCGAAAUAAUGAUUGGAUCAACGGGAAACAUGUGAACAAGUCAGACAUUCGUGCUGUGACGUACAGCCGUGAGGAAUCCGAGCAACACUUAGUGUUUUGGAGUUGGUCGGAGAUUUCACCGUCGGAUCGAAACGAAAUUUCACACCGUCAUAGUAGACACAAUUUCGCACAAUCUCACCGAUGGGAUUGUGGAAAUAAUACUUUAGGCUGCAGAGACUUUGCGAGAGAGGAAGGAGGCAGGAGAAAGAAAAAGAUUAGGCAAAAGGAGAGCAAAAGGAAAUAAAAGAAAAAACGUGAAAAGACCAUCCUACCCU